Molecule: ribosomal RNA, 274 nt
Filed under: uncultured bacterium
Lineage: Bacteria
Description: partial 16S ribosomal RNA
Rfam family: Bacterial small subunit ribosomal RNA
Source: RNAcentral
CUACGGAGGGUGCGAGCGUUAUCCGGAUUUAUUAGGUUUAAAGGGUGUGUAGGCGGGAGCCUAAGUCAGUGGCGAAAUCUCACAGCUUAACUGUGAAACUGCCAUUGAAACUGGGUUUCUUGAGUAUAGUUGAGGUAGGCGGAAUGUGUAAUGUAGCGGUGAAAUGCAUAGAUAUUACACAGAACACCGAUUGCGAAGGCAGCUUACUAAGCUAUUACUGACGCUGAUGCACGAAAGCGUGGGUAGCGAACAGGAUUAGAAACCCGGGUAGUCC